ACUGCUCAGUAACACGUAGUGAAUCCACCCCGCGGACGGGUAUAACCCCGGGAAACUGGGGACAAUCCCCGAUAGUCGAGGCUUUCUGGAAACGGGGCCUCGUUCAAAUGGUCCGCCGCCGCGGGACGACACUGCGGCCGAUUACGCUUGAUGGCGGGGUAACGGCCCACCAUGGCUUUGAUCGGUACCGGCUGUGAGAGCAGGAGCCGGGAGAAAUGGACUGAGACACGGCCAUUAGCCUUACGAGGUGCAGCAGGCGAGAAAACUCUGCAAUGCGCGAAAGCGUGACAGGGCCAAUCGAAGUGUCCACCCUAAGAGGGUCGACUGUGGCGAGAUAUAGACAGUCUCGCAAGAAAGGAGAGGGCAAGGCUGGUGCCAGCCGCCGCGGUAAAACCAGCUCUUCAAGUGAUCGGGACCAUUAUUGAGCUUAAAGCACUCGUAGCGGGCCUUGAAAGUCCCGGGUUAAACCCAAGAGCUUAACUCUUGGGCUGCUCGGGGUACUCCAAGGCUUGGGAACGGGAGACGUUGCGGGUACUAUGGGGGUAGCGGUGAAAUGCGAUAAUCCUCAUGGGACCAUCGGUGGCGAAGGCGCGCAACGAGAACGUGUCUGACCGUGAUGGGUGAAAGCCAGGGGAGCAAACCGGAUUAGAUACCCGGGUAGUCCUGGCCGUAAACGAUGCCCGUUAGGUGUGACGGCAGCCAAGAGCCGCCGUUGUGCCGAAGCGAAAGCGUUAAACGGGCCGCUUGGGAAGUACGACCGCAAGGUUGAAACUUAAAGGAAUUGACGGGAGAAUACCACAAGGGGUGAAGCCUGCGGUUUAAUUGGAUUCAACGCCGGA
This 839-nucleotide ribosomal RNA is filed under the name uncultured archaeon. RNAcentral's name for it is "bacterial SSU rRNA". It matches the Rfam family "Archaeal small subunit ribosomal RNA", at positions 85 to 922 of the family's 1478-position model. The record is from RNAcentral.